Long non-coding RNA from Athene cunicularia (burrowing owl), 133 nucleotides. RefSeq lists it as uncharacterized. NCBI's taxonomy places the organism in Eukaryota, Metazoa, Chordata, Aves, Strigiformes, Strigidae. The transcript is spliced from 2 exons. The record is from RefSeq and is a predicted model, not a curated record.
GGCGCCGGGGCGGUGUUUGCGGGGCUCGGAUGCCCUCCAGGCGCUCAAGACCAAGCUAAGCUCCACAGUGCCUGUGUCCCUGCUUGCAUGCCUCUGCCCGGGUGCUGCUGCGGAGAUCCCCUGGGUCACAAGG